RNAcentral lists this long non-coding RNA (333 nucleotides) under Daucus carota (carrot). RNAcentral's name for it is "long non-coding RNA (DCAR_LNC002318)". Lineage: Eukaryota; Viridiplantae; Streptophyta; Magnoliopsida; Apiales; Apiaceae. The record is from RNAcentral.
ACUGCUGGAAAUCUAAUGCUGGAACAAAAUCGCAUUGCUGUGGAGCUUGCCAAGAAGCUGGAUUCUGAGAAGGAGAAAACUGUGGACGAUGACGAGGCUUAAAUUUUUCACCUUUUCGAUGAUUAAGGGGGAGAAAUUUAGGAACUUUAAUUAAUAAAACUUGUGUGCUUAACUGAUUAAGUACUUUAUGGCCCUAUGUUUUUUUAUCUGCUUUGGUUUUGAAGACUAAGUUGUUAAGUUGGUUUGAAUUUGGUUGGAUAUCAGGUGGUUUAUCCUGAUUGAAUUUGUUUAAGGUUGUUUUGGAUAAUUGUUGGAUACCAGGUGGUUUAUCCU